GCCCCCAUAGCUCAGUUGGAUAGAGCAUCUGCCUUCUAAGCAGAGGGCCACUGGUUCGAGUCCAGUUGGGGGUG
This 74-nucleotide transfer RNA is filed under the name Chitinispirillales bacterium. RNAcentral describes it as "tRNA-Arg". It matches the Rfam family "tRNA". From Rfam's summary of the family: Transfer RNA (tRNA) molecules are approximately 80 nucleotides in length. Their secondary structure includes four short double-helical elements and three loops (D, anti-codon, and T loops). Lineage: Bacteria; Pseudomonadati; Fibrobacterota; Chitinispirillia; Chitinispirillales. The record is from RNAcentral.